RNAcentral lists this long non-coding RNA (1064 nucleotides) under Mustela putorius furo (domestic ferret). RNAcentral's name for it is "lncRNA (ENSMPUG00000031450.1)". The record is from RNAcentral. Lineage: Eukaryota; Metazoa; Chordata; Mammalia; Carnivora; Mustelidae.
CAAUGUACUAAAUUUGCAUUUCCUGUAGAACUUCUUUAGAAAAACUAAACUUUCUUAUUGAAAUAGCUCUCUUUUAUUAGCAAAUUUAUUUUACCUUAUACUAGUCAUUUAUUAUUUAUCACAGGAUUAGCAAUAAGCACUGCCAUUUUGCUACGUAACUUUAAGUACUUGAUUUUAAAAGAAAAUUUAAGUAUAGUUUACAUUCAAUAAAAUUCACCAGCCUUAAAUUUAUAAUUUGCUGAGUUUUGACAGGUGUAACCAUUAUCUCAAUCAUGACCUAAGACACUCUUACCAUCCCCUGAAGUUCUUUUGUCCUUCUGUGCCAUCAGUCCACUCCACUGAUAGCUGGCGGCCCCUGGUCUGCUUUAAGUUAUUAGUUUUGCCUUUUCUGAAUUUCAUAUAAUUGUAUUCCCCUUAUGCAUAUAAUGUAUUGUUUAUAGUUGUUCCACUGUCCUUGGAUAUUUUGUUCUUUUUCUUUUUUCUCUUUGGCUUUCAGUUUUAGAAACUUAUAUUGAUCUUUAAGCUCACUGAUUUUUUUUUCUUCCUCAGCUGUGUCCUGUCAACUGAUGAGCCCAUCAAAGGCAUUCAUUUCUGUUAAUGUUUUUGAUUUCUAAUAUUCCCAUUUGCUUCUUUCUCAUAGUUUCCGUCUCUCUGCUUAUAUUAGUCAUCUGUUCUUGCUUGUUUUCCACUUUUUCCAUUAGAGUACUUAGUAUGUUAAUCAUAAUUAAAAUCCCACAGUUGGUUUUUUACUUUUAAGAGUUUCCUUCUGUGGAGAGAAUAUUAUGUUUAAAUUGUGGAGAUUAUAUGAUGAUAUGUAGGAGAAUAUUAAUGCAUUUAUAAUGUAAAAACUUACACAUUUUAGCGGUGUCUGUGUGGCUCAGUUGGUUAAAUAUCUGCCUUUGCUCAGGUCAGAUCUCAGGGUCCUGGGAUUGAGUCCCAUGUCAGGCUCCCUGCUCAGCAGGGAGUCUGCUUCUCCCUCUCCCUCUGCCCUUCCAUCCCUGCUGGUUCCCUUUCUCUCAAACAAACAAACACACAAACAAAUAAAUAUUUUUAAAAAAUAAAAC